Molecule: non-coding RNA, 104 nt
Organism: Acanthosepion pharaonis
Lineage: Eukaryota; Metazoa; Mollusca; Cephalopoda; Sepiida; Sepiidae
Source: the annotation of a GenBank genome assembly
AUAUCACGUUGAAACAACGGUUCCCAUACAAUCACUGAAGUUAAGCAACAUCGAGCCUGGUCACUGCCUAGAUGGGUGACCUCUUGGGAAUACCAAGUGCUGUA